GUCAUAUUUUCUCCAUUUGGAGAGGCUGGCUGACCCAUCAAUGGGCAGUGUGGGGGAAUGGAGAGACCUGGGAUUUUGGGGACAACAGUGACCAUGAGGGGAUCUCUACACUCCUACUUGGAAAUGGAGUAGCAUUCUACACUUAAGUAUCUCCCUUUAUAAGCUAGGAAUACUAAGAACCUAAGAGUCUCCAUGAGGAUUAGAUGAGGUAAUGUUUGUAAAGAAUCUGAGAUAUAGUAAGUUGAUCAGCAUAUGUUAUUUAUCCUCUUCUUCCCUCUACAAAGAUAACUAAGCUGAGAUAGCCUAACUCCCCCAGCUCAGAAAAUAGCAAGUUAUUUGCAAAAUCAAAUGCUGAUGUAACCAUUUCCAUUCUGAACUCAGAAAAUGGAGAUAAAUCUCUUGCAAGGCUUUUGAUUUUAGUUUUUAGAUACAGAACCUUUAAAAAAAAAGAAAAAUAAACGUUUUGCCAAAGUGUAGUAUAUACAACAGAUGUGAGGGAAGGACAUUGUUUUAAGUGGGAAACGUCAGCUCUCUCAACUUCUACACAUUCGACUAUUCCCUACUCCUCAGUGACCCCAAAGACCCCAGAGAAACUCAGUAUGAAAAAUCACUAUGGAAGUGCAAUAGUUAUUACUUUGUUUGGAAUUCACUACAACACUGUUUCUCAAAAUAUAAUUCCUGAGUCACUUGGAAGAUUACAACCAACUGAAUUAGAAUCUCUGGAAGGCAUCCUAAGAGUCUGCAUUUGUAUGAAGCUUCCCAGGUGGUUCUGCUCAGCCCUAAGUUUGAAAACUACUGGCAGAAUAGUAGCAGAGUUACUUAUUCUACAUUCGUUUUUUAACCCAUUGUAAAAAUCAUACAUGUAUGUUCAAGACACCGGCAGAUCACAGGAAGGGAAAAAAAAUCACUUAUGCUUCCACCACCUUAACCUAGAAACCUUUAGGACUUUUCAGUACUUCCUUUCUGUCUUUUUCCCCUAUACCUAAGUUUUUAUUUACAAUAUAGUUGUAGCCAUAUGAUUGUUGCUUUCAUUGUUGCUUACAUGUGUUAAAUAAUUUUGUCUCUGUAUAAUAACAACCUCUGGCGAUUUUUCCUUUCUCUCUCUCUCUUUUUUUUUUUCUUUUGUUUAGACGGAGUCUUGCUCUGUCACCCAGGCUGGAGUUUAGUGGCAUGAUCUUGGCUCACUGCACCCUCCGCCUUCUGGGAUCAAGUGAUUCUCCUGCCUUAGCCUCCUGAGUAGCUGGGACUAUAGGUGUACAUCACCACACCUGGCUACUUUUUGUAUUUUUAGUAGAGAUGGGGUCUCAUCUGGUGAUUUUUCAAGUAAGGUAAUGGAAGCAAGAGAGGUUUACAUACAUGGUGUACAUAUACCUCGGCAGCCUGUUUCCUUCCCUUAUAACUAUCUCAAAAAAACAUAUUAAGUUAUUUUUCAGAAUUAUGUUUUUUCCUGUUGCUUUUGACUGUAAAGGGCAGACUUAAAUUUAGUUAACAUCUGCUCUAACGUUGGAUCAUGUGUGGAGUCCCCAGUUUUCAACAUUAAAAAUAAAGUAUUUGUUGAAGUGGGGUUUUUUUCUUCUUACAGUAUAUGUAGAACCAUUUUCUUGAAAAUGUUUCUUAGAAAUUUGUUACUUAGAAGAUUUGAGCCAAUGAUACAUUGCCGAGAUUUGUAAGAGUAAGACCAGCCUACGCUGAGUAUUAUUUUCUCAAAGGAAUAUUAUGAGGCACAUCCCAUCUUCAUAUCAGGGAACAAACUGUCACAUUUUAGUGAAAUCUGUGGGUUAUGUGUGACCACACACAGUGUCGUGUUUGCUCCCUUUACAGAAAUCUAAGUAAAAGAAUCACUUUUUCCUAGUAUCUGGAUGACUUGAUUUCUUACUAUCUUGGGCCUUCUUGGAAACCCUGAAAUGUAGCCUUUUCAUCUUAAUUCACAAAGUGUUCAUUCUCACCCUUUUCCUUCAUGAGAAUUUUCUGAAGCUAUUGUGAAUCUAUGGAAGACUCAAGGUAGUAUCUUUUUCACAGCAUUCAAAAAAAUGCUGCUGGCUCCUUGGCUUGUCCGGUGCAUCCUCCGUGCCAGCCCCCGCUGUCCUAGAACCAUCUAAGCUAACUCUCCGAUGAGCUCUGGCCUCUGGACCUCAGCCUAUCCAGGCCCCUUCAUGACCCAGUCACAGUGAUUCUAUCUGUACCUACCACAGCUAGGUAGGCGGUAUGGGAAGACCACAAACUUGAGAGUCAGACGGAUCGAACUUCGUCUUUAGCCCCCCACUUAGGUGUUAUGUGACUGUGGUCGGGUUAUUGGUAACAUCUUCUUGCUCAGCUUCCUGACCUGCAGAAUGGGAAUAAGAAUACCUAGCACAUAGGGUUAUAAUGAAGAUGAAACUGCUUAACGCAUGUGAAUAACAACAAUGGCUAACAUGUAUCAGACGCUUGUCUUAGUGUUUAUUGUUUUAUGCGUAUUGUCCUGUUUCAUCCUCAUGCUUACCCUGAGAGAAAGGUGGUAUUAUUAUUCUUAUUUUGCAGGUGAGGCUUAAAGAGGUCAAUUAUUAGGUUGAACUGUAUGAAAUGACUGUUUUUAUAGGGAAAAACAGUAGCCGAUCAUCAAUUCCCUAAGGUUCCACGUAAUAAUUUGUCCAGGUCUCAUAGCAAAAAGGUGGCCGGAUGAGGAUUUGAACCCACUGCUCUCCAACCCCUAAGCCCGUGCUUUGUAGAAUUAAUCGGAGCUCUAAAGUACUUGACCCUGGGCCUGACACCAAUCAGGAGCUUAAAACCCAUUAGUUUCUUUUUUGUUUUAUUUUUGCCCACUAUUAAAAUGUGCCAAAGUAAUAAGAUCAAACAGGGCCCCUGCGUUUUGACAAACAUCCGAAUUCUGAAUUUCAGCGUGGAACAGGGCAUGGAAAGCAAACACAAUGGGGAAAAUUGCCGUGGCCGGUCCCGACAAUGUGUGGAUUAAAAAACCACAUGCAUGCACAGAGACCUGAUGUGAAUGGUAUUUCUGAGUGGAAGCUAAGUAGGAGCUGAAAAUGGCCUUUUAAAAUACAGAACAUAAGGAUGCAAUUCACAGAGAUGGUCUAAACUGUAAACAUGCAGCUGUGGGGUUUGUGAGGCUCAUUGCUUACAUACCGACAGCAUACAAAUUGUCAAGUACUUAAAGUUCCAUUGUUGCUGAAAGGGCCUCCACCCAAUGUCCUUAAAUGGUCCCCCCUUUUUUUUUUUUUUCAAACCACAGGAUUUACAUCUCUCGUAGCAUCUAAUGAAAUACCAGCAAGAAUUGUGUGUUGGUGUAAGAAAUAAUAAUCUUUCCAAAUCCUUUUGUUUUGUUAUCAUUUGCUAAUAGAGAUCUUUGAAAGAAAAUUCAAAGAUUGAAGUUUGUAUUCUCCUAAACUCCUGCAAAGAAGUCCUGUGCAAGGAUCGUUCACUAGUGUUCUGCAUCGUUCUUCUUACUCAACUCUCCCGAGAGGCAUUGUGGACGCCUGUGGGGUUGGUUUUUGGCACCCAUCCCUGACCCCUUCUUCUCCAGGAAACUCUGUUCCUACCUGCUCCUCUUGUGGCUACCUUGGGAGGUGCCAUUUUUAUCAAGGUUAGUGUGUGGUUAAGCACCUUCCCACAAGCUCAGGGGAAAAAAAGGUCCCCUCCCCAGAUUUUUUUUAGAACUGGAAGUUUCCAUUUCCUGGCACUGGUGAAAGCUCUAGGACAUAAAACUUGGGAGCCGAUGGCCUUCAGGCUGCCCAUAAUGUGAAGAGAGGUCAUUUCAGACAUUCAGAUAAAGUCUGUGGCUCCAGUAUUUUUCUAGGUCUUGCUCCCUCCCUGACCUUUUCACAGUUUGGUGACACAACUCUUCCUUGAAUUCCAUAGGUUGACAAAUUCCCCUGAGUUUGGGUUAGGGUUUUGUUACUUGCAAGGCAGGCAUCACAGGGCUGCUCCUGGCCAUGCAUAGCUUUGGAAUCACUUCUCUGAUUCUCAUGGCUCGGGAAGGAGAAAGUGUCCUGUGUGUGGAGAUGGCAGGGUGGCUGGAGUUGAGAGGAGAGUCCCUUGAAUGCCACGCAACAUUUCUCUCUGUAGGUGUCCUCUGCACACUGUCCAAACUCCAUUUUUAACCUUGACUGCAUAGUACCGUGUACAUUCAUUAAGCAUCCCUCGCCAUAGGAGAAUCUGAGUUCCUGGGAGCAUUUAACACAGUUCCUGGCCUUGAGUAAAAACUUCAUAAGCACUUGUUGAAUUGAACUGAAUUUGUUGUCUGUGUUUAAAGGACUUGAUGGAUAAAGGGAGAUUUAACAGUUUAUAGCCAGAUUGGACUCAACCAUGAUGAUUUCUGGUCCAUCUUUUAGAAUGUCUUCACUUCUCUUGGCCUUUAUUUCUCCAAGUGGUGAUAAUGAGACCUAUCCCUAACGGUUAAAGUGACAUGGUCCAUUUAAAGUGCUUAAACCAAUUGCCAGGCACAUAAUAGGUGCUCAAUAAAUACUUCCUUUAUUUCCCUGUUAGGCCUCUCCCAACCAGAGAUCAAAGAUGAUUGGCCCUGAAGUUAUUUUUCCCCCCAAAUUUGAUAGAAAUCAGUAGAGAUGCUAAAAUAUAAUACAUUUGACCUGCAUUGAUCAAGGUAGGCUAACUGCUAUAACAACUUUACAAUUAGUGCCUUAACAUAAUAUAAAAUGACUUCUUGUUCAUGUAACAUCCAAGGUAGCUGUACCUAGUUGCAAUGCUCUCUUCCAAGUAGAUAUUUAGGGACACGGGCUCCUUCUAUCUUCUGUCACCACCACCUUUAUUUUUAGCAUCCGCGGUCUUAGCAACAGUAGAAGGAAAGAAUGGAGAUAAGACAGUGGGUAUUUAAUCACCUUAGCCCAUAAGUGACUCACGUCACUUCUGACUACCAUAUCCAAUUUUUGCCUCUCUUUUUUUCUUGGGUUCCCCCCGACAAAAAAAAAUAUGACAGAAGUGUCACCCAUCCAGCCAGCCAGCCAUCAAUCCGGUAUCCAUUCAUCCAUCCAUCCAUCUAGGCAUCCCAGGUGACUCAUUCCUGUGACCUUGGGAGACAGUCUUUCUUCCUAGAGGUUGUUUGCCCCAACCCCCUGUUACAUUCUUGAACCAUAUGUUUCCCAUUGUUUGCACUUCCCCUAGUCACCUGGUGCUUUAAUUUUUGCCUGUAACCUUCUGAAACUUUCCUUAAAUGUUCGGCUUUGACCUGUCAUUCACUAAGUCUUUCACCAUCCUUCACUCAUCUUACCUCCUUCUUCUGUGGCAUUUCAUAAAUUUAAUGAUUGUAAUUGUGAUUACAACAUAAUUGUUUAUGUCUACCCCAGGCUUUGCAACAGGGAACUAUAUCAUUAUUUUGCAGACACAACAAAUUCUGCAAGCAUGUAUCUUUGGAAUAAAGGAGAGAGGGUUGGACACAAAUGUGAUUACAACAUAUGCUUCUCUGGGCAUAGCUUUGCCCCAUUGCACGAAUAUAGAAAAUUUGGCAGGCUGAAAAUAAGCGGAAAGAUCCUCAAGCUGUUCCUUCCACCCCCUGGGAUGCUGAUUAAGAUUUCAGAUUUUAUUUAUUCUACGGGUAUUUGUUGAAUAUUUAUUUCUUACGAUACCACGCACUGCUUUAGGCACUGGGAAUAUAGCAGGAUAUACAAAACAGAAAAAUCAUGGCCCUCAUGGAUUAUUGGUUGUGAGUAAUAGGAACCUUUCAAUCUAACUUAGGAAAAAAGGUUAGGGAGCCAAGGAGGAAGAGUGGGUGUGAUGAUGCAUCAGGAUACCAGAGAAUCCCGUGGAAUCCCACAGUGACACAGCCAAGCCUUGGGAGGGGUGACACUAGCGAUAGAGACAGAAACCCACACAGGAGUCCUUUUCUCUGUCUCUCAUCUCUGCUUUUCUCUGUACAUCUGGUUCAAUUAUUCUCUUGCCACGAAUCAGCUAUUUGUAUUCCUCUGUGCACGUCGCAGAAGAUCAGGAAUUUGCACAUUAUAGUCACAACCAUACCUAGAACCAAAUUGCCUAACACUGAAUCCCAAAUCCAAAUUCCUGGGAGAUAGAAUUCAAUUCUUCUCUUGCCACAAAUCAGCUGUUUAUACUCCUCUUUGCACGUUGCAGAAGAUCAGGAAUUUGCACAUUAUAGCCACAACCAUACCCAGAACCAGAUUGUCUAACACUGAAUCUCGAAUCCAAAUUCCUGGAUUUGGAUGGACUCAAUCUGGACCCAGUAUCUACAUUUGGUCCAGUCAUCUGUAUCCGGCAUCGGGGUCUUGUUGAAAAACCAUGGCUUAGCCGGGUACAGUGGCUCAUACCUGUAAUCCCAGCCACUUGGGAGGCUGAAGUGGGAGGAUCGCUUGAAGCCAGGAGUUUGAGACCAGCCCGGGCAACACAGGGAGGCAACAUCUCUAAAAGAAUUUUUUAAGGAAUAAAAAGGAAAAGCAUGGCUUUUAUUCUAAGAGCAAAGGCAUUUUGUAUAUUUGGCAGGUAUCCCAACAGAUGCAUCACCCAGUCUCUUAAAUUAAGAUAAUAAUUUAUUUGGCAAGUGAAUUCUUCUAGUGUAGUUAGAUAGUGAUGAAAAGAUUUUUAUACCUCCAAACACACACACGCACAUGCACACCCACCAGGCUCUUCUUUACUUCUCACUCAUAGAUUUGAAAACAACUAUUAUAUUAUAGAAGUUUUUUGGUAUAGCUGCCAGGGGUCAUUGUUUCCAUCCCCUGUGUGGAGAUAAGAAAAUCGAGAUCCAGUGGAGUGUGGGGUGCUGAGAGAACAAGUCUAUGUUUUCUUGAGACAAAGUCUUGAUCUGUUGCCCAGGCUCGAGUGCAGUGGCAGCAUCUUGGCUCACUGCAACUUCUGCCUCCCGUGUUCAAGUGAUUCUCCUGUCUCAGCCUCCUAGGGAGCUGGGAUUACAGGUGUGCACCACUAUGCCCAGCUAAUUUUUAUAUUUUCAGUAGAGAUGGGGUUUUGCCGUGUUGGCCAGGCUGGUCUUGAAUUCUUGACCUCAGGUGAUCCAUCCACUUUGGCCUCCCAAAGCGCUGGGAUUACAGGCAUGAGCCUAACUAUCCUCAUUAAGCCAUCUGCUUUCUGCAGUCAUUUUCAUGGCGAUGUGUUAUAACAGGACAGACCUUGUACUUUGGAAUCAAACAUUCUCAACUCUGCUAUCUGCUCUUUGUGGGGCCCUGAACAAAAAUCUUUACUCUCUUUGAGCCUUCGCUUCCUCAUUGGUCAAGACUUUUCUCACUGCAUUAUAUUUGAGUGAGACCCGUAUCAAUGGAUUGAAAUUCUCAGAAACCCAAGACCAGGAAUAGCCCAGUGACAGGAAUUUAGACCAUGCCAAGUGUGAACCAUGGCUUGCGGGGGCUCCUGUCUCACGCUGGAUGCUCCUGCCUGGCUGCCUCUGGUCUCCAGCAGAAGACCUGUCGUGCUUGAGUGACAAAGCAGAUUGCUUCCUCCCACCUCUGUGGGUUAGGACCCCUUUUUCUAUCCUAGUUUCACUCUGAUGGGCGAGUUCACUCACAGUGAAACCGUAGCAAAACCUCAAGGUUUGGCUUAACUGCAAAGGGGUGGUUGAUAUCAGAUUCAUACGCCAGAACCAGAAGACCACUCGUGAGAAAUUCUGUAAGCACAGGAGUGUGGUUUAUGUCAAAAUCAAUCUGAUGGAGUGAAGCCAUUCCUUGCCAAGCGAAAAUACAGCAUCAUCAACUACAUCCUUGAGCCUAGAACCUCUUCACUCAGCACCAGCUAGUGGGUAAAGCCCGGGAGAGGUUGUAACAAAUCUGAUUCCCUGACACUCACCUGAAACAAGAUUCAGCAAAAUUAAAAGCAAUAUUAAUAUAUGUCGCCUUGGGAAACAGAGGCAGAGGAGAACAGGAAAGAGUCAGAUGGACUUUGAUUUGAGACCCGUUUCUGCUUCUUCCCAGGGUGUGACCUCAGCGGAGUUCCAGAGCAUCCAUCUCCUUUGUAAGACACAGAUAAUACCAACUGCAUGGAUUUGUUAUGAGAGUUACAUCAGGGGAGGGUCAUGAGGUCACCUUCCCAUGGCCAGGAGAAGCAGGUACUCAGGAAUGGCUACUUCUCUGGCCACUUUAUAGACCUAUGGAGAUGUUGAAAGUAGCCCAAAGGAACUGUGUGCCUCGCAUCUUGGUCCAUCUUCAUGGGUUGAUCAUUGUGGUUCAUAUCACUGUUUCAUGAAACACAGCCCGCCAGAAAGUCGCGAGUGUUUUGAUUUCAUCCUAUACCUAUAGUUACAGGCCAUUUAAGAUCCACAGUCUGCUCUUUUAGCUUCUGCCAGCACAUUUGGACAUCUGUGCAGUUCCCAGGGCAGGUGAAGAGUUGUUCAUGUGAUGCAAACUUUUGAGAAGGGACGUGUAGGGAAGAUGGGAGGGAGGUGAUAUUUAUUGAGUAUUUUCUUUUUGCUUUCAGCUUUAUACCUUGUGUGUGCUUACAGAGGUCAUGAAUUGUCCGCUGUUGUAUGUGUAAUCCGUGGCAGAUGUGCAUAAUAAGUUCAGGAGGGGCUCGGUUUUGGGAGGCCGGGGAUACUAGAAGAUAACCCUAAAAUGUGGAAAUCUACAUCAGAGAGUGGUGUGAGUGGUUCCCAAAAUGCCUACCUGGCACUCCUACCAAAGACACAGCAGAGAACUUGGGGCCUCUUGUUUCAGCCAUUUUCAUCUUCACUGUAAAUCUAGACAAGAUAAUGAAUGAAGAACCUGACACAUUUAAGGAACUCCAUAGUUGGGAGCCCAGUGUGAGUCAUUAUGGCGAGUCCCUAACACUGCGGUUCCCCUACUUGAGGGCGCAGGUAGGGGCACUUUGCUGCCUCCUUUGACAAUAAGCAUUGCCAUUGCCAUGUGAUUUGCUUUGCCUAAUGAAAUGUGAGUGACACUUCCAGAUGGAAAUAUUAAGAGCCAGUGUGUGGUUCACCCUGACCCCUUCCUAUGCCCCAGCAAUUAAGGAAGCAAUGUUCAGAUGAAACCCAUGUCUUCCUCCUGGGUCCCUGAGUGACCACAGUCAACAGAGCUUCCCUGUUGGCCAUUACUAAUGUCAAGAACAAAGCUGUGUAAAGUCACUAAGAUUUUGGAGGUAUCGGCUGUUGCAGUAGAACCUAGCCUAUCUCACCUGACACAAACGUUUUCUUUCUCACAAAACCUCACACCAGUGUUGUUUUAUUCAUCUGCUUAUGCACGCGUAUGGCUGCAACAUCCUUCCAAAAUGCAUUACAGGCUCUAAUGCACGAUAAGACAGUUAGGUUCGAAGGAAAACAAAGACAAUUGCACGGCACAGAGGGAAUAUACUGCUACGGUAAACCGAUCACUAACACCCGGCCCUGAAUUUGCUUCAAAGUUUUCACUAAGGCACAAAGGGAGCCGUGUGGAGCUCCGGAGUUCCCAUCUGAGGUCUUGUCUAACUCCUUGGCAACUUUUAUGUAUUUGUAUAGGAGACUCUUUUGCCAGAUGGUUGAAAUGUUCAUCCUCCUAUUUUGUUUUAAUGCAAACUGACAUUUCUUCAUCUUCCUGCGGUGGGUUUCUUUUAUGAGGUCGUGCUUUGCAUUUUCAUAGAAAGAAUUUCUGACUCCCGAUCGGAGCCCACCCUUGUAGUUUCUGUGGGGGCUGUUUUGGUUAACCACUCGCAUCAGUUUUAAGUCUCCACAGGCAGAACCAGACCAUCGUGAACUUCUUGAUUUACAUGGUGGUGGAGAGUGGCUGAGAAACCAGGGAGAAACAGGAAGGAGCUGAUUGAGGAGACCAAAGGAGGGUGGGGCCGCAGCUCUCAGGCACUCUUGGUGUUCAGAAGGCCAGCUUGAAGAAAGAUGUGCAUAUUUGCAAAUGCAUUUCUUGUUCCUAGUGAAGAGGUGAGGAAGGACACUGACUGUGCUAGAGCUGUACAAAGAGAAGUAGAACUCUAAAUAGAGAAAAUAUGUAAAGAUCAAUAAAUCACACCAAAAAUAAGUCAUAAGAACAACAAAUAAUACCAGGAAUAAAUAAUGUAAAAUAUAAAUAAUUCCUAAAAUGGUGAUAACAGCUUAUGACAAGUAAUUUCUUUUUUUUGAGAUGGAGUCUCGCUCUGUUGCCCAGGGUAGAGUGCAGUGGUACAGUCUCGGCUCACUGCAACCUCUGCAACCCAGGUUCAGUCGAUUCUCCUGCCUCCUGAGUAGCUGGGACUACAGGUGCAUGCCACCACGCCCGGCUACUUUUUGUAUUUUCAGUAAAGAUGGGGUUUCACCAUAUUGGUCAGACUGGUCUUGGACUCCUGGCCUCGUGAUGCACCCGCAUCGGCCUCCCAAAGUGCUGGGAUUACAGGCAUGAGCCACCGCACCUGGAGGACAAGUAAUUUCUAAGUAUUAUUUCUUUUAAUCCUCACAGUGACUCCUUGUUAGGGUUUGCUGCAUUUUAUACAAAGAAGAAAGGAGUCUGUGGAAGUGACAUAAAGUAGGACAUGUAUUCAUUUACUGAUUCAACCUUUCAUUUGUACAUAUAUGUAUAUUUUACAGACACGGUCACCCUGUCUAGGUAUUAACAGUUAUUACAAAGAUGAUAUAAUUUUGCAAUCAAAAUACAGACACAGUUGUCUGUCUCCCAGGCUGGAGUGCAGUGGCACAAUUAUAGCUCACCACAGCCUUGAACUACUAGGCUUAAGCAAUCCUCCCGCCUCAGCCUCCCAAAGUGCUGGGAUUACAGGCAUGAGUCGCCACACUCAAUUAUACACUUAAAUAUACAUAUAUAUAUACAAUAUACAUAUGUAAAUAUAUCUGCAUAUACAUGUUUAGGGACAAAAACACGGGAGUACCAUUUCUGUCUUUGUCUCUCUCUCUCUUUCUCUCACUUGACUCUGUUGGGAGCUAUAUUAGUUGUUUUCUCUUUCCAAACCAC
Molecule: long non-coding RNA, 10817 nt
Filed under: Homo sapiens (human)
Lineage: Eukaryota; Metazoa; Chordata; Mammalia; Primates; Hominidae
Description: HSALNT0387051
Source: RNAcentral